Molecule: long non-coding RNA, 284 nt
Filed under: Homo sapiens (human)
Lineage: Eukaryota; Metazoa; Chordata; Mammalia; Primates; Hominidae
Description: long non-coding RNA NONHSAT145436.2
Source: RNAcentral
CAGUUUAUGGGCCGCACCGGGACCAGCUGGGCUUUAUCCUCCUCUUCUACCUCGUUUUUUAUGGGUUCCUCACCGCCAUGUUCACCCUCACCAUGUGGGUGAUGCUGCAGACUGUCUCCGACCAUACCCCCAAGUACCAGGACCGACUGGCCACACCGGCUUGAUGAUUCGCCCCAAGACUGAGAACCUUGAUGUCAUUGUCAAUGUCAGUGACACUGAAAGCUGGGACCAGCAUGUUCAGAAGCUCAACAAGUUCUUGGAGCUUACAACGACUCUAUCCAAGC